UACAGAGGGUGCAAGCGUUGUUCGGAAUUACUGGGCGUAAAGCGCGCGUAGGCGGACCUGCAAGUCGGGGGUGAAAGCCCGAGGCUCAACCUCGGAACUGCCUUCGAUACUGCGGGUCUCGAGUCCGGGAGAGGUGAGUGGAAUUCCUAGUGUAGAGGUGAAAUGCGCAGAUAUCGGGAAGAACACCCGUGGCGAAGGCGGCUCUCUGGGACGGUACUGACGCUGAGACGCGAAAGCGUGGGGAGCGAACAGG
RNAcentral lists this ribosomal RNA (253 nucleotides) under uncultured bacterium. Its description in RNAcentral is "partial 16S ribosomal RNA". It matches the Rfam family "Bacterial small subunit ribosomal RNA", at positions 524 to 776 of the family's 1533-position model. The record is from RNAcentral.